This 253-nucleotide ribosomal RNA is filed under the name uncultured prokaryote. RNAcentral's name for it is "partial 16S ribosomal RNA". It matches the Rfam family "Bacterial small subunit ribosomal RNA", at positions 524 to 776 of the family's 1533-position model. The record is from RNAcentral.
GACGUAGGGGGCCAGCGUUGCUCGGAAUUACUGGGUGUAAAGGGUUCGUAGGCGGUGUGGCAAGUCGGGAGUGAAAUCUCUGGGCUCAACCCAGGGGCUGCUUCCGAAACUGCCGUGCUAGAGUGUGGGAGAGGCGCGUGGAAUUGCAGGUGUAGCGGUGAAAUGCGUAGAUCUCGAGAGGAACACCGAUGGCGAAGGCAGCUUCUUGGUCCACUACUGACGUUGAGGCACGAAAGCGUGGGGAGCAAACAGG